RNAcentral lists this ribosomal RNA (429 nucleotides) under Chloroflexota bacterium. Its description in RNAcentral is "Chloroflexi bacterium partial 16S ribosomal RNA". It matches the Rfam family "Bacterial small subunit ribosomal RNA", at positions 355 to 776 of the family's 1533-position model. The record is from RNAcentral. Lineage: Bacteria; Bacillati; Chloroflexota.
UGGGGAAUAUUGCACAAUGGGCGCAAGCCUGAUGCAGCCAUGCCGCGUGUAGGAAGAAGGCCUUCGGGUUGUAAAGUACUUUUAGUCGGGAGGAAGGUGGUAAGGUUAAUAACCUUAUCAAUUGACGUUACCGACAGAAGAAGCACCGGCUAACUCCGUGCCAGCAGCCGCGGUAAUACGGAGGGUGCAAGCGUUAAUCGGAAUUACUGGGCGUAAAGCGCACGCAGGCGGUUGAUUGAGUCAGAUGUGAAAUCCCCGGGCUUAACCCGGGAAUUGCAUCUGAUACUGGUCAGCUAGAGUCUUGUAGAGGGGGGUAGAAUUCCAUGUGUAGCGGUGAAAUGCGUAGAGAUGUGGAGGAAUACCGGUGGCGAAGGCGGCCCCCUGGACAAAGACUGACGCUCAGGUGCGAAAGCGUGGGGAGCAAACAGG